CCUACGGGCGGCAGCAGUGGGGAAUAUUGGGCAAUGGACGCAAGUCUGACCCAGCAACGCCGCGUGAAGGAAGACGGCUCUCGGGUUGUAAACUUCUUUUUAGGGGGAAGAGCAGAAGACGGUACCCCUUGAAUAAGCCACGGCUAACUACGGGCCAGCAGCCGCGGUAAUACGGAGGUGGCAAGCGUUUUCCGGAUUUACUGGGUGGAAAGGGCGUGCAGCCGGGGAGACAAGUCAGAUGUGAAAUCAACGGGCUCAACCCGUGAACUGCAUUUGAAACUGUUUCCCUUGAGUGUCGGAGAGGUAAUCGGAAUUCGUGGUGUAGCGGUGAAAUGCGUAGAUAUCAGGAAGAACACCGGUGGCGAAGGCAGAUUACUGGACGAUAACUGACGGUGAGGCGCGAAAGCGUGGGGAGCAAACAGGAUUAGAUACCCCUGUAGUC
Molecule: ribosomal RNA, 442 nt
Filed under: uncultured bacterium
Lineage: Bacteria
Description: partial 16S ribosomal RNA
Rfam family: Bacterial small subunit ribosomal RNA
Source: RNAcentral